RNAcentral lists this long non-coding RNA (342 nucleotides) under Homo sapiens (human). RNAcentral's name for it is "non-protein coding lnc-GMDS-23:1". The record is from RNAcentral. Lineage: Eukaryota; Metazoa; Chordata; Mammalia; Primates; Hominidae.
UCACUCCCCAUCCGGGUGUCACUGGGUGCUGGGUACCUCCCUCACUCUCCAUCUGGGUGUCACUGGGUGCUGGGUACCUCCCUCACUCCCAACCCCGGUUCCUCUGUAGCUUGUGCACCUCCUUUCUUUCCUGGAUUCUCCUUCCCCUCUGGUCAUUGAGGUUCCAGAUGCCUCAAAGAAGACACUGCAAAUGGAAGGAAGUAUAUGGCUUUUGAGAUGGAUGGUGAUGGCUGGCUGGGGCCUUGUCAGGUGUAGAUUUUGACCAUCAGACCUUCAAGGAGGUGGGGAGGCGUUGGGGUGAAGAGCUGGGGAGGAGCUCAGAGGCUAGAAGCCAUGUCCCUU